AAUGUGCUCAUGGUUUGCUUUAGAAGUGGAGGAAAGGUAUAUCGCGGAGCGUUGAUCGAUACUCAAAUUGGUGUUGUGGUCAUGCUGCCCUUGUGCAGUGAAAACAAGGCUUGUUCAUUCAUUCGUGUAUCCGAUGACAUCCUGCCAUCUCCUCACCUCGUUCAGUGCUGCAUCAUGAGCCUUCUGCAGGUCCUCUUCACUGCAUCCAUCUCCUCCACAUAUGAGCAGGUGGGCCGUUAUCUGAACCUCACCACAGUCACGCCUGUUGUACUCUGAGAAACCCCAUUUAAGAAUUGAGGCCCUACAGUAUCCUUCACUAGUGCGAAGGUGGUUGAGGGAUUUCCAGAUGAUAGAUGGUUGGUGGUGUCCUAUUGCCAUUUGCUUCAUUGAUCUUCUGGCUGGAGGAGAUGGCUCAAGUUCCAUAAAACUAUGUCUGCAUUUAAGCUGCUUUUGUACUCAACUGAUGGUUGUGUAAUGAAUGUCAACUUCAGCUUUGUAGCGUUUCAACGGUAGUUACUCUUUCAUGUCUUUGGGAUGGGUCACAGUGCCGGACAGAUUGUACAGAUAUUUAAUUCUGGUUGGUUUUGGGCAUCCUGUGAUUAUCUGCAAGUUGCAUUCAGUGCAGUAUUCACCUUCGGCGAAUGGUAUUAGUGGUUCCACACUGGACUGGCAUGUUCUGCCACUGAGAAGCAUAGUGCGAGUGUUACUGUUCAGAUUGUGGUUGGGUCAUUUCCAAAGUAGAUAUCUUUAAGCUUAACAAUGAUGUUGUUCCUAGUGUUGACCUUUGCUUUGGUUUUCUCAGCAUGCCUAUGGAAGCACAGUGUGUAGUCAAGAAGCACACCAAGAUACCUUGGUGCUUCACAGUGCUUUAGAAGGACUCCACUUCAUCGAACUUGUAGUCACUUGUUCGCAUCAUGGUUCCAAAGAUUGAAAACUGCUGUCUGCAUUUUGGCUGGGUUUGGGCACAGGGAGUUCUCUUUGUAUGUAUUAGCUUGUCCAGUUCUGUAGGGCAGAUUCAAGAACAGUCUCAAUUUCACCCAAUUUUGUUAAUAGUGUAGCAAUUCAUAAGUCAUCUGCAAUACUGCAUACACAAAUGACCUGGUUCUAGGUGUGAUUGGCUGGUCAUUGGUGUAGAUGUUGAACAAUGUGGGAACGAGGACACUGCCUUGAGGUAAACCGUUCUGGGUCCUCCAUAUACUGUUCUAGCCAUGCAGGCUGACAAAGAAGUGGCAAUUCUUCAUCACUGUCAAAACAAGGCUGAUCACAGAUAAUGAUGAAUUGUUUCAUGCAAACUUGUACUGAAACAAUUUUUGUGUUAAAGACACAAGUAAGGAAACAUAUACAUGUAAAUAGUCCAUAUGUACAGUACCAACUCUUCCAAAGCAAAUUUGGCUGCUAGCUUAAAUUUUCAACUGAUGUGUCUGUGGGGACAGAAUUGGGGAGUGAAUACUGAAGAGAAAGAGGUCAGAUCAGAAAAUUCAACAAGAGGCUGGGUACCAGCAUACUGAGCUCUUCAGACCUACCAGUACAGGGCAUGUACAUGUAUGCAUCUUAUUUCUUUCUUUUAAAACUUUAAAAACUCAAUGAAGUGAAGGUGUAAAUCAUAACCUACAGGUGGUCAUCAUCUAUGCUGUUAAUUACAUGUACCUUAGAAAUAACUGAGAUUUAGUUUCUAUACAAUGCAGAAUGUAAAAAGGUUAAGUUUGUGAUGCGCUUGGAAGCACAACACUGACUGUGCAUCGUUGGCAGAAACUGGGUGUCAUUUGUGUGUUUUUCUUUCUUUACAAUAUGUUAGAUUAGUUUAACAGGUUGAAAGCAGUCCGGCCAAGUGAUUUUGUUAAGUUAUUCAAGACUCCAGUCAAAUUAGUGACUUGAAUCAUAAUGAUGAUGAGAUUUUGUUAUUUUUGUAGUAGUUUGUUCUAAGAUCAGUGUCUGUAUUAUUAAAGUCUUUUCAUAACCUGUAGUCAAGGUAAAGCUGUAGGAAUAAAAAGACUUGGAGCAAUACGACCCAGAAAGUCCUUACUGCAUGUGCAUUUAGGUCACUUGUGGGGUCUGGUUUUCUCAUCUCUUUUGAUUUAGUUUGGAACCAUUGUCAUAUCAGAGUCAUUGCAGCCUCAGCCAUGUCUGAUACUGUAUGUAGAGGUAGAUAGAUUGUACCGUAUUUGUGCUUGUAUCCAGGCUACACAGUGUUCCAUUAGUGAUCUAAUUUCAGUAGCCCCCUCAGCCCCAGUGUACUGUACAUAACCAAUCAGAAUCAGUUGUGAAAACAUAUACAUCUAGCAUGCCAUGGCCUAUGAUGUUCAACUGAGACUCGGUUACCAAGACUGAGAUGAUGAAAUCAUCUGUUUACAAACCCAACUGAGAGGGCACAUAAAGAUGAUCCAUGAUCAUCAGAGACACAUGCUGCACACUUUUUGAAUUAAUGUGAUAGACAGUGAUAUGUACAUGUAGCUAUGUGUUGUAAAAUAUAUUUUAAAUGAUCUCAAACGUGCACAUGGAUGUGUGUGGAUCUGUGGGUUGUCCUUCAAACAGGAAAACAAUAAUUGUUGGUUGCGAUAAGAGCCCCUAGUGUCUUUAAUCAAAUGCAUGUACCCACAUGUACAUGUACGUGGAGACAUGUAUGUAGAGUGUACUUAAAUGAGUGCCAGGCAUUGCUGAAAAACCACAAAAUCCUUUACAUUUCUGUGAACAUGGCAUUGCUCUUGUAAGUUUUGUUUUGUGUGAGUGAGUGUGUGCACAUGGCUCAUUCAAACACCGAGAUCUUGACCAUUGGCGCAGUUCACAGACAACCUACCAUGUGUACGGCUCAAAGAAAUCGGUCAUUAGUUGUCUUGUAUAUGUACAUGUAUACAGGCGCUGGGUAAAGGGGAACUUUUGUUCUUGCACAAGUUGCUGGACUUCAGUUUACCGACACAGCUGAUAUUACGGUACAUCCACUUAAACACUUAUUAUGGAGCGUCAAAAGUGGACAACUUCAUUUUCUCAUUUUCUGCUAUUAGAU
Molecule: unclassified non-coding RNA, 3001 nt
Filed under: Acanthaster planci (crown-of-thorns starfish)
Lineage: Eukaryota; Metazoa; Echinodermata; Asteroidea; Valvatida; Acanthasteridae
Description: pWWP domain-containing protein 2A-like, transcript variant X1
Source: RNAcentral